CCUGGCGGCUGUAGCGCGGUGGUCCCACCUGACCCCAUGCCGUACUCAGAAGUGAAACGCCGUAGCGCCGAUGGUAGUGUGGGGUCUCCCCAUGCGAGAGUAGGGAACUGCCAGGC
RNAcentral lists this ribosomal RNA (116 nucleotides) under Cronobacter turicensis. The record is from RNAcentral. Lineage: Bacteria; Pseudomonadati; Pseudomonadota; Gammaproteobacteria; Enterobacterales; Enterobacteriaceae.